CGGCCAUGAGGAGAUACUUUCUGUGUUGAAUUAGGGUGAUGUUUUUAUACGCUAUUCUGAGCCGAUA
Small nucleolar RNA from Grammomys surdaster, 67 nucleotides. RefSeq annotates it as small nucleolar RNA U54. The transcript has a single exon. The record is from RefSeq and is a predicted model, not a curated record. Lineage: Eukaryota; Metazoa; Chordata; Mammalia; Rodentia; Muridae.